Molecule: non-coding RNA, 3200 nt
Organism: Lolium perenne
Lineage: Eukaryota; Viridiplantae; Streptophyta; Magnoliopsida; Poales; Poaceae
Source: RefSeq, a predicted model, not a curated record
UCGGUAAGGGAGAUGAAUUCCUCUCCAAAAUGAUACUACAUAUCAAUAUGGAAUAUAUUGAGAUUUUCCUUGGAUUGCGUGAAUCGCCCUAUACUUUUUCUUUAUCAAAAAUGGGAAACUCAGUGAUAACUGUUGCAUUAGUGUUGUCCCCAAACUGUACACACCUCUCGCCAUUUGGGACCUCAGCCUCUCUAACCUGCCCCCUUGGCCUAGUGAACUGAAUAUAUCCCGGUACCACGGAGCAUAUAUAUAUGCGUCAACGAUCGGUGAUCGGUAUCUGGCAAAGUUGUGGAUGGCGGCAAACUGAUAAGUUUGCAUCCCGGUUCCCGCAGUUUCGCUAUAAAUAGUGCUAAAUGCAAGCGGCAAUGUCACACGGAUCAUCGCUAAGAAGAAGAGGGGCUUUGCAUGAGGGCCAGAGCCUGCCUCCUCUGGUAGCCAAGGAUGACUUGCCUAUAUGCUCUUUCAGAAGCCCCUGUUACAGUACAUGGCCGGUUUCAGAUGAGUUUCAUGAUAGGCGGUCACCUUGGCUAGCCUGAGUGGCUCUUGUCUGUCAUGGAAGGCCUCUCCUUCUUAUUCCCUGCUGUUUGAUCUCAGGUAAGACCAUGGCUGCUAUUGGGCUUAUGAAUAAGUUUGAUACAGUUGAAUACCUUGAAAGAUUCAACCGAGGGUUUGUUAAAGAAUUCCCAAAUGGGAGUGACGUGGAGUAUGCGAUUCAUCCACGCUUUAUUGUUAUUAUGAAAGAGAAAAACUUUGCAGGAGGUGAUCCCGAUGAGGAUCCUUAUAAUCAUUUACAUUCCUUUACCGAGUUGUGUUGGACAAUUAAAUUGAGGAACUAUCCUGAUGAUGAAUUAAAACUUAAACUGUUUAGUCAAACUCUAACCAACACUGUAUUAUCUUGGUACAAAACUUGCCCUACAGAAAAGAUUGAUACUUGGGAGAAUCUUAUGAUGAAAUUUAUAUUUUGAUUCUACCCAAAAGUGAAGUCCGCUGAAGCAAGAAGAUUUAUAACCAAUUUCAAGAAUCGCCGCGGCGAAAGUUUAAUGAGAGCCUACCUCAGGUUUAAAGGUACGGUUCAAAGCUGUUCCCAUCAUGAUUUACCGCUUUGGUAUGUUUUACAUUUCUUUUAUGGAGAACUUGAACGAGAUAAUAAAAGCGAAUUAGAUUUGUCAUUCGGUGGAUCUUUUAUGGAACUCACCCCCGAGCAAGCAUGGGUACGCCUAGACAAAGUUCAUAGAAAUAGAGAAUCAUUGGGCUUUGAUCUUGGAAGUGAGGGAGAAAUAGAAAUUGAAUAUGAUUUUUUAAAUUCUUAUAAAAACACCGGGAAAUUAAAAUAAACUGCUAAUGAGCUUAAUCUUGAUGAUGUUAUGGUAUUAGAUGUUCUUCAAGUUUUUAUAGAAUUCAUUGAAGCACCUAAGAAGGAAUGGCUUUAUUACGCCCGCCACCUCAAAUCACUGAAGUAGCACAAGUUUAAGUUGAAGUACCCAAAGUGGUACCCAUUGAAAGGACGUCUUACAAUGAACCGCUUCAUUUCCCAAUGACAGCAGCAAGGCACAUUAGAGCUCAACUCCUUGUAGAACAAAAAUAAGAAGAGGUGAAAGAGGUAAGAGCACUAGAGGUAAAAUUUAGUAACAAGGAACCUACUUAUGAAGUUGCAAAUGAGGAUGGUGAAGUAACUAAGGAAGGUAUUAUAGCUAUGUAUGCACACUGCAACGUAGUUGACAUCGAUUCCGAAACCUCACAAUUCGUAGAAGGUAUGGUUAAUGCAAAAAAAAUUGUGAGCAAGCAUGUUUUACCUUGCACUUUUGGUGGAUCCUCUUAUUAUGGCCUCUGUGAAAUUGGAACAACCGUUAAUGUUAUUCCCUAUAGAUUUAAUUUUGGUAAUCAAUGAUGAACUUGAAUAUUCACAGUUAGAAGACGCAAAUAUGAUAAUUAUGAUAGCUGCUAAGUCUCUCUGAGUUCCUAUGGGAGUAAUAAAAAUGUACGGCCAGUCGAUAUACUUACAACAGCUUUUUCCUUGUUUUAUUCGUUAAGAUAAAAAAAACAGUUUUUUGUCGCCUUUCUUCUGUCGGUAAUCGGUACGGGUCGGACGGUACGGUGAUAACCCACCCGUACCGAAUUCUCGAACCGAGUAUAUCUGGCCCGUUUUUUGGUAGGACGUCAGCUACAGGCGAACGGUACGGUCUGAGACCGUACCAAGGACCGCCGUGCUGCCCAGAAUUUAUUUUUUAAGUUUAUAUCUUUCCAUAUUGUUAGGAUUUUUUUAUGUGCGACCAUAACUUCAGUCUGACGAGUUUUUUUCUCUUUAUAACCCCUCAUAACACCUAGAUGAGUCUUUUCUUCUAUCCUAACAGAUGUCAUCCAAGCUUGCCACAAACCCUACCAACGCAACCAUGUCUCAUCCUUGGAGCAUCAUGCCUUCAACCUAUGGGAAGCAAGGCACCCCGGAUGCCUGGAGGAAGGACGCCACAAGGGAGAAGGAGGCAGAACAAUGGAGGGACGAAAGUGACCCAGAAGAUGGUUUCAUGCUAAGAGAGAAGAUUAUUGGAGGUCGGAAAACUUUUGGUUUGGUUGUAGGUAAGGAUGAUGAUUAUGAUGAAGUCGACAUGAGCAUCGAAGAAGAUGAUGGGCUAUGCCUCAUCGACAAGUUAAAGAUGGAAGACAAGGACAAACAGGAAUCCCUAGAGAAGCUGGACAGCCGCAUCAAGAGAAUUGAAGAGAAUGCCCCUGGGUCUGCAGAGCAUAUUCGGCUACUGCGAUGCUACCUGGAUCAAAUGGAUGAAAACAUCAUCAAAGGGCUGGAGGCUAACCUUUAUAUUUGUCUUCGUCCUCUUGAUACACAGAAAAACACACCUGAAGUGAACAAGAACUACAUUGUUGUUCUGGAGAAAUUGGCUAAGGAGCGUUCAGCCCGCAUCAUCUACCUCGAAGCAUUCACCAUCGCAUUGCAGACCAAGAUCCGUAAUCUUGAAGGAGAAGACCCUUCAAAAUAGAAGGACGAGUUACGGUAUCAAAUAAUCACAGGGAUUAUUUGAUCCCACCUAGCUUGAUUCCAAGCUUGGGGAGACCUAUAACACCUUGUAACCUAUCUCCUAUAGUUUACAUAUUUACUUUCUAGCGUGCAUUUAGUUCGAAACUCAAUAAGGAUUGCAUUAAUGCUUGUUUAAUUUCCCUUGGAGAGUGAAUGAUUUUUAUCCAAUGAA